GUCAUAGUUUGCCCAAGUUAUUAUCUUAUAGUCAAUUUGCAAGCCAUAUAAGGAGCUUACAUGACGGCGUUCCUUCUUGACAAACGAUUGAACUCGUCCAAAUAAGUGGUCCAAAAAUCGAAUACGUAUGUUGGCCCAAAGCUAGUAAUCUAAAAAAAUAUGGCAACUAAAAAAAUAUGACGUCCGAGUAAAAUGUUAUGAUGCUUUGAAGUUAUGUCGAUCAACCGACGUAGACGUUGCGAAAGAAUCAACCGGGCAUGUUUCGUCGCAACGCAACACCAGAGACUCGUCUCAACGAUCAUGCCAAGUCAGACAUCGUUGGCAUCUCUAAGACAAAACAUCC
This 343-nucleotide unclassified non-coding RNA is filed under the name Matricaria matricarioides. RNAcentral describes it as "partial 26S-18S external transcribed spacer 2". The record is from RNAcentral. Lineage: Eukaryota; Viridiplantae; Streptophyta; Magnoliopsida; Asterales; Asteraceae.